GACAGAGGGUGCAACGUUGUUCGGAAUUACUGGGCGUAAAGCGCGUGUAGGCGGCUAUGUAAGUCGGGCGUGAAAUCCCACGGCUCAACCGUGGAAGUGCACCCGAAACUGCGUAGCUAGAGUCCUGGAGAGGAAGGUGGAAUGCUUGGUGUAGAGGUGAAAUUCGUAGAUAUCAAGCGGAACACCGGUGGCGAGGCGGCCUUCUGGACAGUGACUGACGCUGAGACGCGAAAGCGUGGGGAGCAAACAGGG
RNAcentral lists this ribosomal RNA (252 nucleotides) under uncultured bacterium. RNAcentral describes it as "partial 16S ribosomal RNA". It matches the Rfam family "Bacterial small subunit ribosomal RNA", at positions 524 to 777 of the family's 1533-position model. The record is from RNAcentral.